CAGCAGCCGCGGGAAUACGAAGGGUGCAAGCGUUAAUCGGAAUUACUGGGCGUAAAGCGUGCGCAGGCGGUGUUGUAAGACUGAUGUGAAAUCCCCGGGCUCAACCUGGGAACUGCAUUGGUGACUGCAACGCUGGAGUGCGGCAGAGGGGGAUGGAAUUCCGCGUGUAGCAGUGAAAUGCGUAGAUAUGCGGAGGAACACCGAUGGCGAAGGCAAUCCCCUGGGCCUGCACUGACGCUCAUGCACGAAAGCGUGGGGAGCAAACAGGAUUAGAUACCCCCGUAGUCCCUGUCUCUUAUAC
This 301-nucleotide ribosomal RNA is filed under the name uncultured bacterium. RNAcentral's name for it is "partial 16S ribosomal RNA". It matches the Rfam family "Bacterial small subunit ribosomal RNA", at positions 509 to 807 of the family's 1533-position model. The record is from RNAcentral.